RNAcentral lists this ribosomal RNA (441 nucleotides) under uncultured bacterium. Its description in RNAcentral is "partial 16S ribosomal RNA". It matches the Rfam family "Bacterial small subunit ribosomal RNA", at positions 355 to 784 of the family's 1533-position model. The record is from RNAcentral.
UGGGGAAUAUUGCACAAUGGGCGCAAGCCUGAUGCAGCCAUGCCGCGUGUGUGAAGAAGGCCUCGGGUUGUAAAGCACUUUCAGCGAGGAGGAAGGUGGUGAGCUUAAUACGCUCAUCAAUUGACGUUACUCGCAGAAGAAGCACCGGCUAACUCCGUGCCAGCAGCCGCGGUAAUACGGAGGGUGCAAGCGUUAAUCGGAAUUACUGGGCGUAAAGCGCACGCAGGCGGUUUGUUAAGUCAGAUGUGAAAAUCCCCCGGGCUCAACCUGGGAACUGCAUUUGAAACUGGCAAGCUAGAGUCUCGUAGAGGGGGGUAGAAUUCCAGGUGUAGCGGUGAAAUGCGUAGAGAUCUGGAGGAAUACGGUGGCGAAGGCGGCCCCCUGGACGAAGACUGACGCUCAGGUGCGAAAGGCGUGGGGGCAGCAAAACAGGAUUAGAUA